RNAcentral lists this ribosomal RNA (506 nucleotides) under uncultured bacterium. Its description in RNAcentral is "partial 16S ribosomal RNA". It matches the Rfam family "Bacterial small subunit ribosomal RNA", at positions 28 to 523 of the family's 1533-position model. The record is from RNAcentral.
GAUUAACGCUGGCGGUGUGUCUAAUACAUGCAAGUCGAGCGGCAGCGGAAAGUAGCUUGCUACUUUGCCGGCGAGCGGCGGACGGGUGAGUAAUGUCUGGGAAACUGCCUGAUGGAGGGGGAUAACUACUGGAAACGUGAGCUAAUAAAGCAUAAGGUCGCAAGACCAAAGAGGGGGACCUUCGGGCCUUUGGCCAUCGGAUGUGCCCAGAUGGGAUUAGCUAGUAGGUGGGGUAACGGCUCACCUAGGCGACGAUGCCUAGCUGGUCUGAGAGGAUGACCAGCCACACUGGAACUGAGACACGGUCCAGACUCCUACGGGAGGCAGCAGUGGGGAAUAUUGCACAAUGGGCGCAAGCCUGAUGCAGCCAUGCCGCGUGUAUGAAGAAGGCCUUCGGGUUGUGAAGUACUUUCAGCGGGGAGGAAGGCGAUAAGGUUAAUAACCUUGUCGAUUGACGUUACCCGCAGAAGAAGCACCGGCUAACUCCGUGCCAGCAGCCGCCGUAA